UGUGACAUACCUAUUUGUUGCCUCGGCGGUGCCUGUUCCGACAGCCCGCCAGAGGACCCCAAACCCUGAUUACAUUUAAGAAGUCUUCUGAGUAAACCGAUUAAAUAAAUCAAAACUUUCAACAACGGAUCUCUUGGUUCUGGCAUCGAUGAAGAACGCAGCGAAAUGCGAUAAGUAAUGUGAAUUGCAGAAUUCAGUGAAUCAUCGAAUCUUUGAACGCACAUUGCGCCCGCUAGUAUUCUGGCGGGCAUGCCUGUCCGAGCGUCAUUUCAACCCUCAAGCCCCCGGGCUUGGUGUUGGGGAUCGGCGAGCCUCCGCGCCCGCCGUCCCCUAAAUCUAGUGGCGGUCUCGCUGUAGCUUCCUCUGCGUAGUAGCACACCUCGCACUGGGAAACAGCGCGGCCACGCCGUUAAACCCCCAACUUCUGAACGUUUGACCUCGGAUCAGGUAGGAAUACCCGCUGAACUUAAGCAUAUCAA
RNAcentral lists this ribosomal RNA (479 nucleotides) under Ilyonectria sp. RNAcentral describes it as "eukaryotic LSU rRNA". The stretch from base 114 to 267 matches the Rfam family "5.8S ribosomal RNA". Lineage: Eukaryota; Fungi; Ascomycota; Sordariomycetes; Hypocreales; Nectriaceae. The record is from RNAcentral.